RNAcentral lists this ribosomal RNA (191 nucleotides) under uncultured bacterium. RNAcentral describes it as "partial 16S ribosomal RNA". The stretch from base 1 to 168 matches the Rfam family "Bacterial small subunit ribosomal RNA", at positions 328 to 540 of the family's 1533-position model. The record is from RNAcentral.
ACGCUCGACACCUACGGGAGCAGCAGUGGGGAAUAUUGCACAAUGGGGGAAACCCUGAUGCAGCGACGCCGCGUGGAGGAAGAAGGUCUUCGGAUUGUAAACUCCUGUUGUUGGGGAAAAAGAGGAUGGUACCCAACAAGGAAGUGACGGCUAACUACGUCNCNNNCGCGAAGUAUNGCGGCGNGNGAGAG